UACGUAGGUGGCAAGCGUUGUCCGGAUUUACUGGGCGUAAAGAGCGCGCAGGCGGUCGUUCAAGUCGCGUGUGAAAGCCCCCGGCUCAACUGGGGAGGGUCACGCGAUACUGAUCGACUCGAAGGCAGGAGAGGGAAGUGGAAUUCCCGGUGUAGUGGUGAAAUGCGUAGAUAUUGGGAGGAACACCAGUGGCGAAGGCGGCUCACUGGACCGGAACUGACGCUGAGGCGCGAAAGCGUGGGGAGCAAACGGG
Molecule: ribosomal RNA, 253 nt
Filed under: uncultured bacterium
Lineage: Bacteria
Description: partial 16S ribosomal RNA
Rfam family: Bacterial small subunit ribosomal RNA
Source: RNAcentral